Molecule: long non-coding RNA, 1019 nt
Organism: Astatotilapia calliptera (eastern happy)
Lineage: Eukaryota; Metazoa; Chordata; Actinopteri; Cichliformes; Cichlidae
Source: Ensembl
UAUUUAUCUAUGGAGGUGCUUGGAGUUCAGGAGAAAGGUCCACUUACUGUUUACUGAGCAGGCAGAUGGCUGAAGAACUGAAAGCAACUGUAAUUUGUCCUGAUUACUGCACAUAUCCAAAGGGGAAUGUUUUAGGGAUGGUCCAAGAUAUCACUGACUGCUUGAUUUGGGCCCACCAGAAUGGAGAGAAAUUCAACUUUGACAAAGAUAACAUUGUAUUAAUUGGGCAUUCAGCAGGUGCACAUUUGUGUACACUCACCACACUGUUUCUUGUUGAUACAAGAGAGGAGCUUUCCAUAGAGCCAGGCAAGCAGCAGGAAGUCUUGCUCUCGAUAAGAGGAAUUAUUGGUCUGAGCGGCGUCUACAACAUCGUGGACCAUUAUGAGCAUGAACAGAAACGAGGAGUUGAACGAGUGUCCCCCAUGCACAAAGCGAUGAAUGGUGUGGAAAACCUUCCAUACUACUCACCAACACACUUACUAAAGAAGCUCAGCCAGGACAAAGUCAACAGAUUGCCUCCAUUCGCUUUGCUCCAUGGGACCAAUGACAUUAUGGUUCCUGCUGAAUCUACCAUAAGAUUCUCUGAGCUUCUCACUUUGCGCUCUGUUAAGAUGUCAUUGAAUGUUCUUCAUGGAGUCGCCCACACUGAGACUGCUGUUGAUCUCAUGGUGUUAAACAGACGCCUCUACCGUCCAAUCUACAGAUACAUCAAAGAAGAGUUUAGAAAAUUUCUGGGUACCUGCUGACUGCAUGUGAUUAGAAAAGUAUUCACACAGCUCCAGUAUGUGCUGAAUUGUACUGUACUGUAAAUUAAAAUCAACCAUUUAAUUAUGAGUUUGACUUGAUUCUCUGAAGCUCUGAUUUUAUAAAACUAAUAUGAUAUUUUUAACAGUACUUUAAUUAUUUUGGAGAGAUGCUCUUUAUAGUGCUGUCAAAUAAGUAAUCACAAAGUGAAAUCAAUUAUAGAACAGUAGGGUUUAUUAGGAAGCUACACACAAUAUUCAAAUCCAGUUACAAAA